CAUGCCGUUGAUGACACACUUUUGAAUCUAUACCUGUGUAAUUCAAGCCAAAAUAAGCACUCCUAUGAGAGGUGGGGGGAAGAAAUCUUACUCAGACAAUGGAUUCAAAACACCAGGAUAAUGAACUGGCCAAUAAUGUUGAUUUUAGUAGGGGUCCUAAAAUAUUUGGGUUUCAAAAACUCUUUGAAACUUUCUCUCCACAACAAUGAAAAUAUGAAGAUGUAUAUGUUCCAAAUCCAAAUGAAAUGCAAGGGAUUUACGGAUCCUCGAAUGUCUACCCUCUGACUCAAACGUAAGAGCCCCAAGUUAGAUAUUUUCAUAGCAACUAGUGAUGUUUCUUUUAUAAGCCUCUCUACAUCUAUUAUUGUUGAUUUAUUGUCUGCCUUUCUGGUUGGCCUAUAAGCUCUCCGAAGGCAGAGGCCAUGUAAUCGGGGCUCCAAACAUGAUACCCCAAGGCAUGGUGCUUUGGAUGCUGCAUAUUUUUGAGAUAAGAAAUGUUGAGAGUCACAUCAGCCCCAGGUAACACAACAGAGCUGGAGAUCUGAAGACAGACCAUUAGAUUCUGGUUUCUGUUUGUGAGCUGUUACUUUAGGGUGCAACUCUACAUGUCGGCCAGAAAAGCAUCUUCUUUGUAUCUGUACUUUGUAUUUCUCAUAAGAGUCUUCUUUAGGGGAUAUGACCACAAAGUCAUUAAGCUCUUAAUUUGUUUUAUUAGAGGAACACUGUUAUAAGAGCAUUAACCUCAAUUUUAAAGAAAAAAAGUACAUCUCUCUAAAUCUCUCAAUUUUAUCAGAGGUUUCUUUUUGCAUUUUUGUCAAGGGCAUAGUAAUUUAUAAAUGGAUGAAAUCCUGGUGAAUGUAGAAUUUGUGUUCAGUUUUAUUUAACAUAUUGAGCACUUUUCAUUAGGUUGCAUUUUUCAUUAGGUUGCAUUAUUCUGAUGAUGGUUAAAUAAACAUUCUAAGAUAUGCAUGUGCA
Sapajus apella (tufted capuchin) is the source of this 975-nucleotide long non-coding RNA. RefSeq lists it as uncharacterized. Lineage: Eukaryota; Metazoa; Chordata; Mammalia; Primates; Cebidae. The record is from RefSeq and is a predicted model, not a curated record. The transcript is spliced from 2 exons.